RNAcentral lists this long non-coding RNA (1651 nucleotides) under Homo sapiens (human). Its description in RNAcentral is "novel transcript". Lineage: Eukaryota; Metazoa; Chordata; Mammalia; Primates; Hominidae. The record is from RNAcentral.
GCUGACUCUCUUAUUUUCACCUGCCUGCACCCAGGUGAAAUAAAUAGCCAUGUUGCUCACACAAAGCCUGUUUGGUGGUCUCUUCACACAGACGUGCAUGAAAUUUGGCGCCGUGACUCGGAUUGGGGGAACUCCCCUGGGAGAUCAAUCCCCUGUCCUCUUGUUCUUUGCUCCAUGAGAAAGAUCCACCUACGACCUCAGGUCCUCAGACUGACCAGCCCAAGGAACAUCUCACCAAUUUUAAAUCAGAAGGCAGGAAUGUCAGGCCUCUGAGCCCAAGCCAAGCCAUCACAUCCCCUGUGACUUGCACGUAUACACCCAGAUGGCCUGAAGUAACUGAAGAAUCACAAAAGAAGUGAAUAUGCCCUGCCCCACCUUAACUGAUGACAUUCCACCACAAAAGAAGUGUAAAUGGCCGGUCCUUGCCUUAAGUGAUGACAUUACCUUGUGAAAGUCCUUUUCCUGGCUCAUCCUGGCUCAAAAGCACCCCCACAGAGCACUUUGUGACCCCCACUCCUGCCCGCCAGAGAAUAAACCCUCUUUGACUGUAAUUUUCCUUUACCUACCCGAAUCCUAUGAAAUGGCUCCACCCUUAUCUCCCUUCGCUGACUCUCUUCGGACUCAGCCCACCUGCACCCAGGUGAAAUAAACAGCCAUGUUGCUCACACAAAGCCUGUUUGGUGGUCUCUUCACACGGACAUGCAUGAAAGCCAGGAUCUGAGAGAAGUGCUCACGAGGAUUGAUAAAACAUUAUUAGGUUGCUGAACCAUUCCAGGACAUGUAAAAAAAUGAAGAAAGAAAAUAUCUACCAGCUCUCUUCUCAGGGAACAUGUUUGUCUUUGGUUGGAAGGAAAUACUUUGAUAAGCCGCUUGGAGUGUGAGGUGAGAUGCCUCCUUCCCCCAAGGAGUAUUUUGAAUAAAAACAGAUGGUCAUUAAACUGUCUCUGUCAGAGGGUGGGUCCAACUUAAAAGAGGAGCUUUAAUUUGUAAAGUAGGUUUUGCAGAGCAGAGCUGAGGCCCCAUCACUGGCUUUAACCUACCCUACCCUGCCCCCAUGAGACUAACAGCUUCUUCUCUAAAUAAAUGUUAAAUAAAAAAUUUUAAACCUAUUGAAUUCAUAUUAUGCAAAUUGGCUGACCACCCUGCAUUUCUGAGUGCUUGUUCCUUCCCAUAGUCUUAGUGUGGCUAAAAUAUUGGGGUGAAGUUAGCUGUGGGAGUUCAAUUGAAAUAGCAUAGAUUUCAUGUAUAAGACCACAUAGGUUUCUCCCCAGAUGGUGCAAUUGAUACGUCAUGCUUUGCUGAAGCAAUAUUACAGGGCUUGCUCUGAUUUUAUUAUGAAUCUUGAAGAAACGUUACGGACCUUAAGAGGUCUUAAGAAGUGAGGGUGACAAGACGGGUGGUUUUGGUUGUGCUAAAGUAGUCCUAUCUGUGAUUGGUUCUAAUUUCCAUAAUUCUGAAUAAAAUGUUUUUGUGAGAAAAAAGGUAUAGGGUUUAAAAUGUUUGAAAAUCCACUUGAAAAAUUUGUGAGGUUUACACUCGUGUGGAACAAACAAAAACCAUAACAUAAUUUUCACAAUUUACAUCAUUGAUUUCACAUAUUUAUAUUUGUAAUAAAUCAAUGUAAUAAAUCAAUUAUAUUCUUCUGCAUGGA